Syngnathus typhle (broad-nosed pipefish) is the source of this 2121-nucleotide long non-coding RNA. RefSeq lists it as uncharacterized. The record is from RefSeq and is a predicted model, not a curated record. Lineage: Eukaryota; Metazoa; Chordata; Actinopteri; Syngnathiformes; Syngnathidae. The transcript is spliced from 2 exons.
UGGAAUGGAUUGUAUUGGACUUUUCCAUUCCUUUCAUAGGCUAAAUAUUUUUUACUUACAUGUUCAUAUUAAAAUGUAUCAGUUACAUGUAGAAAUGCAACUCUAAGUCUUUUUUUUACUCGCACGUGGCAUUCUAACAAAAACUGACGUGGUCCUCAGUCAAGGUGACAGCCAAGUUUGUUUCAUUGCUUCAUAACCAAAUGUAACCUAAAGAGUUUCUAACAUGACGCACACAUACACUUGCAGCCAGUAGCAGUUGCUUUGUUUAUUUUACAGGCUAAAAGAUGUGGAGGCCAUAACUCUAAGGCUGCCUUAAAAGCAUUCUCUUCCGGGCCCUCGGGCUCCAUGUGGAAGUCAUUAAGGCUUCCAUGCAGGUGACUGACACUGAGUGACCACUCCUCAUGAGCCAUACGUGCGAUAAUGAAGCACAGCUUCCUAUGUUAACUUUAUAUUAUUUGACAAAGAGUGGCAGAUAUUUUUUUUUCCCCAACUACUCCAUUGUCAGAGUCAUCAGGUAUGUAAUGAGCGGUACCAGGUGAAUGUUAUGGUUCCUCAGUCCUUCUAUAUUCUUCUGACAAAUCUGGUUAAGCUCAGAUUUAAAUUGAGUGACAUUGACCUACAUAUCUAUAGCUGGGAGAAUUGGAGCCUUUCAAACUGAAUUCAGGGCAUCCAUCAAAUCCUGCAUUAAGUGUAUACCAGCUUGCAAACACAAACACUACGGUGAAUAUGUUCCUCCCGACAGAAUGAAUCUAGAGAUGGAUGUCAGGAUUGUUUGGAGGAAAAGGUAAAUAGUGAAGUGGCUUUUGGACUUUAAUGUUGUGUUUACGCUGUAAUUAGUCUUCUCAGAAUGAGCCUGCUGACAGAGGGCUUGAGACUGUGUGGCAUGAUAGAAUAAACUCCAAACAGCCCCCGUCUGAAGAAUCCUUCAAUGCUCAUAAACUAAGACGCCUUGCACAAACUACCGCCUCUCGUUUUCCGAAUGGGUGGUCUGACUUUUCCUCGUCUGGCUCUUCCACCAAAACCUCUUCCUUCCACUUGUUUGGUCUUCUGUUUAUGCUACUCAUUCCACUCACUUAUGUACGUUUACAUUUUGGCCUUCAUUUUUCUCCCUGCCCCUGUUUGACCUUCAAGCUCCUAAAUGCAAAGAAUCCAUUUUGAAAUCAUACAUUUAGAGAUUUGAGUCAAUCAAAAGUUGACAUUUUAAGAGAAGCUGCAAUUUUCAAAUAUGUCUCCUCUCAAAAAGAAAGUUUUCAUGAUGAGAAAUAAAUACAAGAGACACUUGUUUUACUCCAUCGUAGUAAUUUAUAAGUGUCUCCCUGUUUUUUGCAGUUUCCUAUGAGGUGAGUUGAGCCGCAAGCUCCAGCCCACAUGGGUUAUGUCACUACGGUGUCCACCUGAGCAAACAGGACUAGGAGGUUUUCUGGGGGCAGACCAGCGGGGAACGAAUUGAAUUCUCAUCACAAACGCCAUUACACGCACGGGCUGGAGUCGACCGGAGCACCCGCCAGGGAGAGACUGUGGACCCGAAAGUUGUCCAAAGCCUGCAGUAGAAAGAUGAAGGCGUUCCAGCAGUUAUCCUCACGCAGACUUUUUUUAAAAACCUAUGAGUAAUACUUGAAUUGUCCGUAAUAGGAACACAAUGUUUUUUGAAGAGCGAAUAAGCGAUGACCUCACUUUUUGUAUAUAUAUUUUUUCCUGACACUAAACUGUCUCGAUAUCAAAACUGUCUUUGGUAUACUGGGAUGGAUGAACCCCUCUGACUUCCAAGCGGACGAUUUAUGAUUAUGAAGUGGAGCCGCCUUUCAGGAUACCACAUCUUUAUAGAAAGCAGACCUGCUCCAGUCUCCAGGCGCUCUUUUAAGUCGGCCCAAAUGCGGCACCAGAGGACCGGAGCAGCCGUCACUCAGCGGACGUUCUGGAUUUCGUUGACCCACACUACAGCGUGUUAAAGAACAGAAAGUUCAACACAACGAACUUUAAAGAAAGAAGCGGCCGGCAAUAGUCACUUAAAGUCUGGUUGAUUUCAUGAACCUGUUGUACUCUAGAACGACAAACACAUUGUCCAAAAUAGGCCUUCACAUAAAACUUGUGAUUUAAAAAAUAAAAUAAAAAUUAUGAUGA